This 492-nucleotide ribosomal RNA is filed under the name uncultured bacterium. RNAcentral describes it as "partial 16S ribosomal RNA". It matches the Rfam family "Bacterial small subunit ribosomal RNA", at positions 29 to 507 of the family's 1533-position model. The record is from RNAcentral.
AGUGAACGCUGGCGGUAGGCCUAACACAUGCAAGUCGAACGGCAGCACAGUAAGAGCUUGCUCUUACGGGUGGCGAGUGGCGGACGGGUGAGGAAUACAUCGGAAUCUACUUUUUCGUGGGGGAUAACGUAGGGAAACUUACGCUAAUACCGCAUACGACCUACGGGUGAAAGCAGGGGAUCUUCGGGCCUUGCGCGAUUGAAUGAGCCGAUGUCGGAUUAGCUAGUUGGCGGGGUAAAGGCCCACCAAGGCGACGAUCCGUAGCUGGUCUGAGAGGAUGAUCGGCCACACUGGAACUGAGACACGGUCCAGACUCCUACGGGAGGCAGCAGUGGGGAAUAUUGGACAAUGGGCGCAAGCCUGAUCCAGCCAUACCGCGUGGGUGAAGAAGGCCUUCGGGUUGUAAAGCCCUUUUGUUGGGAAAGAAAAGCAGCAGGUUAAUACCCCGCUGUUCUGACGGUACCCAAAGAAUAAGCACCGGCUAACCUCGUG